Molecule: ribosomal RNA, 252 nt
Filed under: uncultured bacterium
Lineage: Bacteria
Description: partial 16S ribosomal RNA
Rfam family: Bacterial small subunit ribosomal RNA
Source: RNAcentral
UACGUAGGGGGCUAGCGUUAUCCGGAAUUACUGGGCGUAAAGGGUGCGUAGGUGGUUUUUUAAGUCAGAAGUGAAAGGCUACGGCUCAACCGUAGUAAGCUUUUGAAAUUAAAGAACUUGAGUGCAGGAGAGGAGAGUAGAAUUCCUAGUGUAGCGGUGAAAUGCGUAGAUAUUAGGAGGAAUACCAGUAGCGAAGGCGGCUCUCUGGACCGAUACUGACGCUGAGGCGCGAAAGCGUGGGGAGCAAACAGG